Molecule: transfer RNA, 76 nt
Filed under: Burkholderiales bacterium
Lineage: Bacteria; Pseudomonadati; Pseudomonadota; Betaproteobacteria; Burkholderiales
Description: tRNA-Lys
Rfam family: tRNA
About the family: Transfer RNA (tRNA) molecules are approximately 80 nucleotides in length. Their secondary structure includes four short double-helical elements and three loops (D, anti-codon, and T loops).
Source: RNAcentral
GGGUCGUUAGCUCAGCUGGUAGAGCAGCGGACUUUUAAUCCGUUGGUCGCAGGUUCGAUUCCUGCACGACCUACCA